Molecule: long non-coding RNA, 6172 nt
Organism: Orcinus orca (killer whale)
Lineage: Eukaryota; Metazoa; Chordata; Mammalia; Artiodactyla; Delphinidae
Exons: 3
Source: RefSeq, a predicted model, not a curated record
CGACUUUCCGGAAAACGGAGCGGCAUUUGCUCCCUCUUCGGGCGCUUCUUUCUGAGCGGCAGAAAGCCAUUUCUAGAACACACUGGAUUAGGUUAAAAAGCGGUUGAAAAACCGCCGCGUCCUUCGGAUGCCGUGUUGGGGGGGUCCUGAGUGACAAGCCCCCACUUCUCCGGGGCGAUCGCCGCCCGGGAGGCGCAGCAGGGCAAGCCCUGGGCAGCGGCUCUUCCAGAGCUUUCUGCGGGCCCUGCGUCACCCUCCGGAGUGAGCCGCCGCCGCGGGGGGGCCGCAGGUCAUCAAACAUUUGUUGUGCAUCUAUGCCCUAGGGCGUGCGAGGUACUCUGGACAGAGAUGACAGUCCUUUCUGGAGGAACUCAGAGUCUGGUAGAGAAGAUGGAUCACACAUGUACCUGUCUGCACCGCCGCCAUCCCAGCCACCAUCAUGUCAUAUCUGGAUGGCCAGAUGUCUCUCCACAAGCCAUGACUUGUGACUUUGGUCAGGUCACUCCAUGGCAGCCUGAGUGAUCUUAAAACAACAACAACAACAGCAAUGAAACAAUUUGGUACUAUUACAAAAGCUAAUACACACUUAGGGUAAAAAUUCAAAUAAUAAAGGAUAUAUGGUGAAAUGUCCAAACCAGAUCCCUCUUUCCCUCAUCUGCAACCUCCAGACCUACUUCCCAGAGGCAACCGGUUUCUUCCGUGUACUUCCAAUUUGUUUCGAGGCAUAUAAAUGCUUUUUUAUAUGUGUGUGUACAUAGUUGCCUAUGUAUGUAUACAGGUGUGUAUGUAUGCAACCUUAAAAAACAAACAAUGCACCUUGCAUUUUUCACUUGCAAGUGCACCAGAGCUUUUUCCUACUGCCAAAUCCGAGGACUGCUGCCCUAUUGUUCCCAGUGAUUUGCUCUUAUAAAAACCGCUGCAGUGCAAUCAGUUCCUAGAAGUGGAAUUGCUGGCUUAAUGGAGACGUGCAAUUAAAAUGUUGAUAGCUAUUGUCCAGCGCCUCUCAGAAUGGCCUUCUGAUUUCCAUUUCCAGAGUGCGACUUCUCCUCACCCUCACCAACACUUCCCCAUAUCUUUGUCACGCGGAUAGGUAAAAAUUGGCAACUCCUUUUAAAUUGUAUUUUUAAAAUACGAGUUAGGCUGAGCUUCCAGCAUAUCUGUUAUCCACAUGAAUCUCUCUUUCUGCUGAGUUGCCUUGCCUGUUCUUUCUGCUGGGUUCUUUAUCUUUGGCUUUCGAGUUCCAAGCAUUCUUUGUAGUUAAGGAAAUAGGCACAUUGUCUCUCAUAUUGUUGCAAAUAUUUCUCCCAGUUUUCCGAUGGUCUUUUGACUUUAUUUUUGCCAUGAAAGAGUUUUAUGCUUUUUAGAAUCAAAUUAAUUAAUCCUUUCCUUCUCAGUUUAUGGAAUUAGUACCAUAAUUUUCUACUCUGCUGCUGCAGAAGAAAUCUAUUCAUGCUUUCUUCUCAUGCUUUCAUGGUUUGAUUUUUACAUUUAAAUCUUUGACCCAUCUGUAAUUUAUUUUGAUGUGAAGGAGAGAGGUAUAGAUCCACAUUUAAUGGUUUUCCAAAUGGCUAGCCAUGUUCCCAAUACUAUUUACUGAGUAAUCCAUUCCCCCCAUGUAGUUCCGGCUUUAUCAUAUUCUAAAUUUCCAUGUAUAGUUGGGUCUACUUCUGGGCUCUGUAUUGCGUUCUAUUGAUCUUUCUGCCUAUUCUUGUAUGUGUGCCAAAUUGCUUUAUUUACUCCAGCUUUAUCAUGUAUAUAUUUUUACCUAGUGAGGUUCUGUUUUAGAAAUUUAUUGGCCAUUUGUACUCGUUUUUUUUCCAGAUGAAUUUUAGUGUUAUUUUAUCAGUGUAGUGGGUAAGCAGCCUGAAAUAUGUAAUUACAAAGUAAUUUAAUCACACUGUGGUAUGUGGUGUGGAGGGAAGGUACUAGGAGUUGGGGAAGUGUAAUAUACUGGCCCUAUAGUUCAGAAGGUUAUAUUAUAUGUAUGUGGCAAAUGUAUAGAUAAAUUUAAGGAAACUUAACAUUUUCACAAUACUGUCUUUUUGUUCAAGACAAAAUGUGUCUUUCCAUUUAUUCGAGUCUUCGUUUUUGCCCCUCAGUGAAGUUUACAGCUUUUCUUUAGAUACAUAUUACCUACUUCUGGGUAAGUGACUUUCUGAAUAGUUUGCUCUUUGUGUUACACUUAUGAAUGGACUCUUCAUCCAGUGUCUUUUCUUUUUUCUUUCUUUUUUUUUUUUUUUUUUGCGGUACGCGGGCCUCUCACUGUUGUGGCCUCUCCCGUUGCAGAGCACAGGCUCCGGACGCGCAGGCUCAGCGUCCAUGGCUCACGGGCCCAGCCGUUCCACGGCAUGUGGGAUCUUCCCGGACCGGGGCACGAACCCAUGUCCCCUGCAUCGGCAGGCGGACUCUCAACCACUGCGCCACCAGGGAAGCCCCUGCUUGCCUUUUUCAUGGCUGCAUCCCCAGCCCCUAGAAUAAUGCCGGCAGGUGGUAUUUAGAAAGAAGUCGUGUGCCCUGACUUCAGGUCUGGAGCACUCAGACGUCCAGGACUGAGGACUUGCAGAUAGUAAGAAACCCACGCGGGUGGCAUGUGGCAGCAGUUCAGCCAGCAGCACCUGACUCUUGCAAAAAAGGAGACUUAUCUGCCUCAUUCUAAUUUCAUGAAGAAGGUGCCCAUAUACUGGACAAAUGGCUGAAGACAUUAACUCAGUGGGCUGCAGAGAUUUUUAUGAAGCGUGUGUGGCAACAUAAGUUAUGAUAGAAGUGAAGAUAUCAGGAUAAAAAAUACAGACUGAUUACAGGCAGGGUGUAAGCAGCACAAAUACAGUGACUGAUUUUUUUUACUUGUUUUGUUCACAGCCAUUGCCUGGAACAGUUCCUGGGACGUGGUGGGUACUCCGUAGAUACUUGAUCGAAUGAAUGAAUUAGGCAUAAAAUUGGCAUAAGAUUGGAAGUUCCAGUAGCAUCAAGGGCAUUAAGGUGAUGUGAUUACUUUUUAUUCUCUUGUUUGAUGUCUUCCCCGUUGUCUAUAACGGAGUUAGGCAACUUGUCGAAUGAAAAAAAUUUUUCUUAAGUUUUUUGGGCAAAGCUUUUCCGAGAUGGCACCGCACUAGGUGGCCACCAGAGGGCAGGGUUGCCCUACUGUCGGGGGCCGUAACCACCAAACCAAGUUUCUUCUAAAACCCUUAAGUCAUGUGGAGGUUUAGUUACACACCUGGGGACCUUCCUGGUGACAGGAUUCAAUCCUAUUUCUCCCUCACCCAGCUCUCAGCUCCCCAGAUUGGAGGCAAAAGCUUUUGUGUGAAGAACACAACCUGUCCCAUUGGGCCCUGCACCUUCUCUGAACCAGCUUUUAAUUUAUUGAGUGCUGAGCCCCUUCUGAGUGCCGUCUCUGGGAUGAGCAGUGAAGAGGACUUGGUUCCUACACUCACAAAGCUUGUCCCAGGCCUGCUAACCUUCAGAUUCAGACAGGGAAACUCAGGCCUGGAAAGAUGCCAAGCUUGGCAAAAAAAAAAAAAAAGUCUAGAGCUUAAUUUAGCAACCUGUCUUAUUUAUUUGUGUGUCCAUUCCAAAAGAGAGUGGUACUGGUGCGUGUGGCUGGGGCUGGUGGGAGGAUUCAUUCAUUCUCCCCAAAUAUGCACCAGGUCCCUCUUCUGCACAGACACUGCUCCAGGCACUGGGGAAGCAGCAGACCCUACCCUCGUGAAGCUUACAGUUUGGUGGUGGUGGUGAUGGGGGUACAGACAAAUAAAUACAGAGUGUGAAGGUGGCGAUGAGGGCUGUGAAGGAAAACAGGCAGGAUAAGGGGGUUGAGAGUGAUGGGCUGGUGAUGCUGUUUCUAUAAAGAAGUCAGGGAAAUCUCCGAUGAGGUUAAUUUUGAGCAGAGACCUUAGUAAAGUGAAGGAGCAGAACUAGUGGCCAUCUGGGAGAAAGCAGAAGGGACAGAAUGUGCAAAGGCCCUGAGGCAGGAGUGUGCUCAGGUGGGAAUGUGUAUGUGUGUGUGGGGGGGUGCAGGUUCUGGAGAGGUGCAAGAUCCCACAGACCCUGUGGGCUGCUGUAGACUUUGCCUUUUGCUCUGAGCUGCUGCAUUGAGAAUAGUCUGCAGAGGCGCAAGGUGGCAGCAGGGAGACUGGUCAUCCGGGUGAGCUGAUGGUGGCCUUACACCUGGGACCCUCAGUAAACGCUUGCUGAAUCGAACUAAGCUAUCCUUGUCAGAGCUUGCUUGAAAUCAUGACCUCCUGACCUGCUACAGAGAAUGGAAAAAGCACCACAGGAACAAAACCUCCAAAGGAAAAACUGCCCCAAUUGUGGUGGGAUAAAAAGGAAGAUUUUCUUCCUAUUCUCCGUCAGGAACCAGAAUUCUGAAGGGGAAAGGCUCCUGGCCAGAAAUGCCUGGCCAGACCUCGAAUUUGGCAGAAGGGCGAUCUGAAGCCCAGGGUGGUGAGGUGACUCAUCCAAGGUCACCCAGCAGCUUAGUGGCCACCUGGGAUGCUGGAAUGAGGACUCUUGCCCUGCACUGUGUACCUCUUGCUGCUUUGUUCCUUUUCCCAGGCUCUCAGACAGUCCCUUCUCUGCUCCCACAGUAUGAAUCGCCUCUCGCCUGGGGCUCUGCUCGUGGCUCUGGCUACUCGCCAGCUCAGCCAGGUUGCACCCAGCAGCCCCAGCCUCGCUGUGUUCUCCCAGGACCCUGAGCUGGCUCUGGUCCUCUUUCCACUUGGCAGGCCCCCUGGUUCUCUCACUCCGAAUCCAGAACAGAAAUAAAUUUGAUCUGUGACUGACGCUUUCAUGCAAUGUUGGUGAGAGGGAGAAUUUGCAGUAUCUAUCAAGAUUACAAGUGCCACGUCCUUAAACCUAGAAUUCCACCUCCAGGGUUUAUCCUGUGGAAACGCUGUGACGCUACACUCUCCUGGUGGCCUCCUCUCUGGCCUUUCCCUCUGCCACCCAAGCUCUCGACGUGGCUGUUUCUGCAGGCACUAGACCUUUGAGGCCUCUCCCCCUCUGUGUGCUCUCUGGGCGUGACUCUCCGUUCCCUUGCUUUUAAAUGCCGUCUCUACGCUGACUCUCCCUUGGUUAAGACAUCUCAGUGGCUCCAGUCUCAUUCAGCCAACUGCCUUUUUAUUUUUGAGAUGUAAUUCAUGUACCAUAAAAUUUGCCAUUCUGAAGUGUGUAUUUCAGUGGUUUUCAGUAUAUUCACCAGGUUGUGCCGCCAUCGCCACUGUAUAAUUCCAGAACAUUUUCAUCACCCCAAAAGGAGCCCUGCCUCCACGAGCAGUCACUCUCCGUUACCCUCUCCCAUCAGCCCUAGGCAGCCGCUAAUCUAUUUUCUGUCUCCAUGGAUUUGCCUAUCCUGUACAUUUCCUGUCAAUGGAACCAUGCAAUAGAUAGCCUUUGUGUCUGACAUUCUUUCACGCAGCAUAAUGUUUUUGAGGUUCACCCAUGUUGUAGCGUGUAUCAGUACUUCAUUCCUUUUUGCGUCCAAAUGAGGGUUUCAUCGUAUACCAUAGAUGUAAACCAUAUUUUGUUUACCCAUUCAUCAAUGGAUAGAUAUUUGGAUCGCUUUCGUUUUCUGGCUGUUAUGAAUAAUGUUGCUGUGAACAUUUGUGUACAAGUAUUUGUGUGCCUAUGUUUUCAGUUCCGGCCCAUCUCUCUAAAGUUGUAACCCUUCUUCCCCAUCCCGCCCUCCUCUCCUGCUUCCUCACCCCUCCCUACACCACCCCCAUGGCACUUAGCGCUCUGUACCCUACUUUGGAUUUUACUGAUUUGAUUGAUUGUCUCCCUUUCUCUCAAUAGAAUGUAAACUGCAUUUUUGGCUGUUUUGUUUAUUUCUGUAUUCCUAGUGCCUUGAACAAGGCCUGGCACCAAAGUAACUCAGUAGAUAUGUGUUGAAUGAAUAAAUGAAGGAAGGAAAAACAACUGUUCUGCUUCUCAUCUCUUUCCCCUCCUCCAGUUCUCUAACUAACUCAGGGGUAACCACUCACCAUUGUUUCCCAGGUAGUUAACUCGGUUUCUCUAAAUAACAUGCCACUGCUGCCUUGUUUUGAUUUAUCCGUUUUAAACUUCCAUCAGCUUCCUCUGACCCUGCUACCUCUUUUCCAUUAUCCCCAAAUUGAUGUUUUACAUUUAGUUAAAUCAUUCGGACUAUGGAAAUAUCGUUCGGCGCAAAGACAAAUUU